AGAGAAGGAGCUGCCUAUAUAUGCUUUAUGUGCAGAAGACAUUUCUAGAAGGUUACAAAAGAAAUUGGUAAGGGUGGUGUCAUCUGAGGAGGACACCCGUAGGGCUGAGGGACUGGAGUGGAAAUUGGGUCUGUGCCUUUUGAUACCUUUGAAUUUACUUUUGUUAUGCACGUGUUCACUAGUCAAAAGCAUAUCUCAGCUGAGACUUAACUGCCAAAUCAGAAAUUCAAAUUGACUGUGGGUGAUUAUCUUGGCUUUUGUCAGCACAUUUAUUCUGUGUAAAAGGAGCCGAAUUCCGGGGAAGGACGUUCAGGAUGAAGCAAAACGUUUACCAAAAACUUGUCUCGUUGAGAAAUGAAAAUGCAAAGACUUGUGCCCAAGUGUUCAUAGCUGCUUUAUUCCAGCCCCAAACUGGAAAUCACCCAAUGUCCAUUGACGUUAUGAAUGGAUAAACUGUGGUAUGUCCACACAACAGAAGGCAGCAGUCAAAAGGCGCCAAGCACUGCGAGGCGGGUGGCGCACUCAGACCUUAGUUGGCAGCCAGCCAGGUGUGAGGAGUGCAUCUUCUGCUGGACUUCUAGAAUGGCAAAGUCCUUCCACAGUCCUCUCUUAACCACCGAAUCAGUGACCGAUGUUUAGGUACCUGUUCCUCUCUGCGCUACUGGUGUGUGUACAUGUGUGUAUCUUGUGUGAACUUUUUCGUAACUGAAAGUAUCAAAACUUUAGAAACAAUCAUUGGUUGAGUUUGGAAGUCAAAAGCUUAAGACUAAGUGCUCUCAGAGGCUGCCUCCAGGCAGGAACAGGAAGUAUGGUGCUGUGUUACCAAAGGCUUGCCUCUCCACUACCAGUUACCUUACAACCAGCCUGGAAAAUUAAAUCCUCUCUAAAGAUAAAUCUUUCUUCCUGAUUUUUCCAGAACUCUAAACCGUCGGUGAUGUCCAGAAGGGUGAUGCAGACAAAAGGAGCAAUUACCGGGUGGUACUCAGGGUGAUGGGCUUUGGAUACACUUUUUCCCCUCUUGUUUCCCAGACUUGAGUCAUUUAUGUUAAUGGCAGGGCUGUAGUACAUGACAAUUGGUAUCUCAGCAAGGGAGCUGUAGCCUCCAUUCAAGCAUUACCCUCUCAGCCCCGCUCCUUUGGCCCUGAACCUGCAGUGGUCUAAGCUGCUUUUCUGUGACUCUUCCUAUAACCAAAUGAUGGCUUCAGGAGCUGGCUGGGACACAGGUCUGGAACCCAAAUGCAAAAGCACCUGUCCUGUUGUUCUUAGGAGUUUUCUCAAUGUCUUAGUAUAAUUUGAAGAGGCAACCAGUGCCCUGGCUGGCUGACAACAAAUGGCAGCCAGACAGAAGAGCCCAUCCAGAAGCCUAGGUGCCUUCCUCCUGCCUAACUGAUGGCGCUUCUACCCUCUAGGGUUACAUUAAUUCCUUCAUAUUUCUAUUUACAAACUGAGUUGACAGUUUUGGCUAAGACUGAGAGUGAAGAAAGGCAGUGAGACUGGCAAAUGUAAAAUGGGACAACAGUGGCCUUUUAAACUGCUGUAGGGGGACUGGGUUUGGGGCAGAACGCUGGCCCUUUUCCAGCCUCCCAGUGACAGGCGUUUGAGUUGGGAUCUUCAUCCUCCGGAUCAAUUGUCUGAGGCCUUGCGUACCUGGGGUUUCACAAGCGCGCACACAUGGGUCUCGCUGCUCGCCCGGCUCCAGUUGCCAAGGCUGUGGCGAGCAAACCCAAUGGAAACGACCCUCCUGGUGACCUUGGUCUUCGUGUGUGAUGACACCUUUAGCAACUAACGCCUCUCAUGGCCUCUCAUGGAAGUGGUUUAGCCUGUACCUCUUCCCGUGAUUAAAGAGGUAGAAUUAACCUUUCAGAAACAACUGUGAACAUUUCACAUGGCUUGAAAUCCUUGAUGACAAUUAAUGACGAAACCAAAGUUAGGAAUUUCGCUUUGGCAUAUAAAAUCCCUCCAGGACAGCCGUAUCGCCCAACAACUCAGCGACAAGGUUUCUCCAGCCGGCUCCGCCUUAGCCCAGAGGUCCCGACGGCCGGCCUCCGGCCCCGGGGCACGCGACGCUGUGACGCUCGCUGCGGAGCAGCUGCGGGAGGUGACGGGUUUCGGACCCGCGGUCCCGGCCCUCACGAUGGGUGCGCGGCCACCCCAACCCCCGCUCGCGGCUCCGCGUCAGGCAGGUGCGCGCCGUCGCCGCCGCCCGAAAAAGAAGUGCGACCAACACGGCGACCGCUGACGGGCGCCGCAUCCGCGCCGGCGGCCAGCCGCCGCGCCCCCGGCCCGCACUCGCGUGACCUCCACAUGUGCGCCCGGCCCCGCCGCACCGAAGGCCCCACUGACCCCGCGACUCAGACACCCAGGUCCCAGCCAGCGAUCCUCCCAGCGGCCCUUGCGGCGAGGGCGCGGCCACGUGACCCGGACUCGGCCAAUUGGGGGCGCCGGCGGCGCAGAGGCGUUUGCGUCAUUGCGCUCCGGCGGCAGCUGGAACCCUGAUUGGCCGUAUCUGGAUCACGUGACCCCCGCCGCUCCCCCUCCCGCCUGGGUGCGGCCCCGCCCGGACACUGCAGAUGAGCGGCGCACUGCGCUGACGUCUACAAUGUUGAGUGGCUGGUCUUCCAGUUAGGGAGGGAUGAUGUUGCUGUUGCUUUCUGAGGAGAAAUGGAGCCAGAAGCCUCGUCAAACUGCACCUGGGGUCCAGCCACGUCUUUUCGGUUGAGUCGCUGAAACGUGUUUAGCUUAAGCCAGUUUGAGCUGCACGUUUUAAUUCUUGCCCGAUAAAACGUCAGAACUGAAACAAGUACUACCAGAAUGACCUGGGGGAAAAUUCAUUCUUCAUGUCCUAGGGUUUUGACUCAGUAAGAACGUCUUCGAGCCGACAGGGACUGUACUCCCAGUCCUCCGACUGGGCUCCCCUCCCACCGUCCUCCAGCACCCAGAGAUUUGGGAGGGGACAGAGGCGGGGGUGCCGCUCACAGAUACCUUUGUCAGUUGGCAAGUAUCCCCUUCUGGUGACGCUCUGAGACCCAGCCAUGCCCCUCUGAGUACAAACUCUGUACCCAAACACAAGUGGGGGUCCUGACAAGGCUCCAGCGGGGCGCAGUCCGUGAAGAGCCCGCCGCACCUGUUAGCAAC
This is a long non-coding RNA of Bos taurus (domestic cattle), 3135 nucleotides long. The record is from Ensembl. Lineage: Eukaryota; Metazoa; Chordata; Mammalia; Artiodactyla; Bovidae.